RNAcentral lists this long non-coding RNA (1124 nucleotides) under Pan troglodytes (chimpanzee). Its description in RNAcentral is "long non-coding RNA NONPTRT011561". Lineage: Eukaryota; Metazoa; Chordata; Mammalia; Primates; Hominidae. The record is from RNAcentral.
ACUUCCAUCACAACCCUUUGGUUAAGCAAGUCACUAAGGGCCCUGGAAAUGGGGGAUCUCCUGCCUUGACAGCUCAUCAGUACAUGUGAAAAGCCAACAAGAGUGGAUAUGAUAGGAACUGCAAUCACACAGCACUUUGGAGAGUGUGAAGAUUGGUGCUCACAGCAGAAGUUAACACACUGAUGCUGUGAUCACUGUUCAGUAAGUGGAAUGGUCCUUAGUGAUCCUUGAAGAGUAGCUGCAACUGGAAGACACAGAAUGGAGAGGAUGGAUCAUGCAAAUGAAAAGAUGGGCUCCAACAUUCAGCGGAAGGAACUUAUGGUUGGUUCCCCCGUUUUUUUGUUGGCGGUGGUGGUUUAUUUUCAUUCCCCAUGCCCGGUCCUUCUGAUGGCACUCACUGAUUUGGCUCUAGGGCACAAGUCUAUGUUGCAUGCAGUCCUGGUGUGACAAUCAAUUGAGGCAUUUCCUGGGCGAGGAGCUGGGACACGGGCCAAGCCAAUCAGACUCUGGUUCCCCCAGGACGCUGAGUCUUAGUGGAGCCAUGCCAAGAUGGAAACAGCUGACCUGCUGUGCUGCUGCCACGGCUCCCUGAGGAGUGUCCCUCAGUUCCUAAGAGGGGACUGUCUGCACGCUGGCUCUUACGGGUUGAUUUUGCACUUUUUCUUUGAUUCUGAGAGCUACCCACAUCCUCUCCAAUUCUUGCUCCAGUCAACCAGACACAGUUUCUAUUGCUUGCAGUGGAAGACAUGCCCAUGCAGAAGGCGUCAAGGCUCUUGGGAAGAUGGGGAGUGGCAUGUGUUCUCAUGGUGUUCACAGCUGCACGUGGGAAACACCUCAUUGCCUUUGCAUGACAAACCCAAGAGGGAGGGGGUUCCUUCCCCCAUUCUGCAAAUGGAAAAACUGAGGCUCAGAGGGGAAAUUGAUCGCUCAGUGUCAUAGCCAAUGAAUGACAGAGGGAAAGUUGUGGUCCAGGGCUGAGUCCGGGUUCCAUAGUGUAUAGAUGAAUUUCUUCAACCCCUUCAUCAUGUGAUGAGAGCCACAAGGUCUCCAGGCCUCCUGGACACGACAGGUGUUUGCUCACAAACUGAAACUUUCUCUGCUGGGUCACACCCUCCUUGCCCAUC